GAACAGGCUGUCAACCUGAUUUUCGGAGUUAUAUCAGGAAGGCGAGGCUGCCAUUAACCAAGAUAUUACUUGGAGGGCUAAAGACACAUCAUCUGCCUUGCCAGGGCUGAUCAUCAAUGCUAAGUCUGGGUACCUCUCACCCCAAGGAUGAGAAAUGAGGGGGAAAAAUAAGGAAUGUGAAAAACGCUAAACAUAACAGCAAGGAACACCUCCCUAAAGACACAGGGCCAAUUUUCAAAUAAGGAAAGAAGGGAAGCUGAAAUAACAAAUUAUUUGAAAGCUCUGUGGUUUUAUUCUUCAGACUGACCUCUCCUCCUGUUUAGCUCAGAAGGCCAGUAGUCACAAAAAGUUACCCAUGAUCCCUUUUCUAAUGUGUAUUUAAGCUAAGGAGAUGUGCAUACACUUGCGUUUUCAUUUCCUCUUCACCUUUAUUUUCAAAAGAAAGAAUAAACCAUGUUUAUUGAUCAAAUCCUAGGAAAUCCAUCUGUGUAGUAGACUGGUCUACAGAGUGUAUCUCCACACAAGU
RNAcentral lists this long non-coding RNA (526 nucleotides) under Bos taurus (domestic cattle). RNAcentral describes it as "long non-coding RNA NONBTAT024483". Lineage: Eukaryota; Metazoa; Chordata; Mammalia; Artiodactyla; Bovidae. The record is from RNAcentral.